UUCCGGUUGAUCCCGCCGGACCUGACUGCUAUCGGAUUGAUACUAAGCCAUGCGAGUCUUUGCAGUAAUGCAAGGCAUACGGCUCAGUAACACGUAGUCAACUUACCCUAUGGACGAGGAUAAUCUCGGGAAACUGAGCAUAAUACUCGAUAGAUCAUAAUGCCUGGAAUGGUUUAUGGUUGAAAUGAUUCGUCGCCAUAGGAUGGGACUGCGGCCUAUCAGCUUGUUGGUGAGGUAAUGGCCCACCAAGGCGAUUACAGGUACGGGCUCUGAGAGGAGAAGCCCGGAGAUGGGUACUGAGACAAGGACCCAGGCCCUAUGGGGCGCAGCAGGCGAGAAAACUUUGCAAUGUGCGAAAGCACGACAAGGUUAAUCCGAGUGAUUUCUGCUAAAGAAAUCUUUUGCAAGUCAUAAAACCACUAGUGAAUAAGGGGUGGGCAAGUUCUGGUGUCAGCCGCCGCGGUAAAACCAGCACCUCAAGUGGUCAGGAGGAUUAUUGGGCCUAAAGCAUCCGUAGCCGGCUCUGUAAGUUUUCGGUUAAAUCCAUGUGCUCAACGCAUGGGCUGCCGAAAAUACUGCAUAGCUAGGGAGUGGGAGAGGUAGACGGUACUCAGUAGGAAGGGGUAAAAUCCUUUGAUCUAUUGAUGACCACCUGUGGCGAAGGCGGUCUACCAGAACACGUUCGACGGUGAGGGAUGAAAGCUGGGGGAGCAAACCGGAUUAGAUACCCGGGUAGUCCCAGCUGUAAACGAUGCAGACUCGAUGAUGCAUUGGCAUAUAGCCAGUGCAGUGUCGCAGGGAAGCCGUUAAGUCUGCCGCCUGGGAAGUACGUACGCAAGUAUGAAACUUAAAGGAAUUGGCGGGGGAGCACCACAAGGGGUGAAGCCUGCGGUUCAAUUGGAAUCAACGCCGGA
RNAcentral lists this ribosomal RNA (914 nucleotides) under uncultured archaeon. RNAcentral describes it as "bacterial SSU rRNA". It matches the Rfam family "Archaeal small subunit ribosomal RNA", at positions 1 to 922 of the family's 1478-position model. The record is from RNAcentral.